This 329-nucleotide ribosomal RNA is filed under the name uncultured eukaryote. Its description in RNAcentral is "partial 18S ribosomal RNA". It matches the Rfam family "Eukaryotic small subunit ribosomal RNA", at positions 1470 to 1796 of the family's 1831-position model. The record is from RNAcentral.
CCCUUAGAUGUUCUGGGCCACACGCGCGCUACACUGACGGAGGCAGCGAGCGUGUCCUUCGCCGGCAGGUGCGGGCAAUCUUGCGAGUCUCCGUCGUGCUGGGGAUAGAUGGUUGCAAUUGUCGAUCUUGAACGAGGAAUUCCUAGUAAGCGCGAGUCAUCAGCUCGCGCUGAUUACGUCCCUGCCCUUUGUACACACCGCCCGUCGCUACUACAGAGUGCCCGUGUCCAAGAAACGGUCGGACCUGUGCGGCCUCUCCGGGCGACCGGAGGGCCGUUACGGGGAAGACCCUUUAUUUGACGCGGGUCGAUGAAGUAAAAGUCGUAACA